This 798-nucleotide long non-coding RNA is filed under the name Citrus x clementina. RNAcentral describes it as "Citrus clementina (C. clementina) long non-coding RNA (CCLE_LNC002016)". Lineage: Eukaryota; Viridiplantae; Streptophyta; Magnoliopsida; Sapindales; Rutaceae. The record is from RNAcentral.
AUGUAAAGCCACCUUUCCACCCCAAACCACCGCAUCACAAGCCACCCCAUGUCAAACCACCGCACAAGCCCCCGUAUGUUCCUAAACCACCUUAUUCCCCAAGCCCUAAACCGCCUUACGUGCCAAAACCACCUCAUACUCCAGUCCCUAGGCCACCAUAUUUCCCCAAACCACCUUACACACCAAGGCCUAAGCCACCAUAUGCGCCAAAACCACCUUAUACGCCAACCCCUAAGCCACCAUAUUUCCCCAAACCACCUUACACACCAAGGCCGAAGCCACCAUAUGUGCCAAAACCACCUUAUACGCCAGCCCCUAAGCCACCAUAUUUUCCCAAACCACCUUACACACCAAGGCCUAAGCCACCAUAUGCACCAAAACCACCUUAUACGCCAACACCUAAGCCACCAUAUUUCCCCAAACCACCUUACACACCAAGGCCUAAGCCACCGUACGUGCCAAAACCACCGUACACACCAAGGCCUAAGCCACCGUACGUGCCAAAACCACCAUACACACCAACCCCUAAGCCACCGUACGUGCCAAAACCACCUUACACCCCAACCCCUAAGCCACCGUACGUGCCAAAACCACCGUAUACCCCAACUCCUAAGCCACCGUACGUCCCAUCGCCACCUUAUACCCCUCGCCCUAAACCACCGUAUGUACCAUCACCACCUUAUACCCCUAGCCCUAAACCACCGUAUGUGCCAUCACCACCAUAUACCCCAAGCCCUACCCCACCAUAUGUACCAUCACCACCGUAUACCCCAAGCCCACCAUAUGUACCAUCACCAC